Molecule: ribosomal RNA, 373 nt
Filed under: uncultured organism
Description: partial 16S ribosomal RNA
Rfam family: Bacterial small subunit ribosomal RNA
Source: RNAcentral
GUAGGUGGCAAGCGUUGUCCGGAAUUAUUGGGCGUAAAGCGCGCGCAGGCGGUCCUUUAAGUCUGAUGUGAAAGCCCACGGCUCAACCGUGGAGGGUCAUUGGAAACUGGGGGACUUGAGUACAGAAGAGGAAAGCGGAAUUCCGAGUGUAGCGGUGAAAUGCGUAGAGAUUUGGAGGAACACCAGUGGCGAAGGCGGCUUUCUGGUCUGUAACUGACGCUGAGGCGCGAAAGCGUGGGGAGCAAACAGGGAUUAGAUACCCUGGUAGUCCACGCCGUAAACGAUGAGUGCUAAGUGUUAGGGGGUUUCCCGCCCCUUAGUGCUGCAGCUAACGCAUUAAGCACUCCGCCUGGGGAGUACGGCCGCAAGGCUG